Molecule: ribosomal RNA, 439 nt
Filed under: Pseudoneilonella salicensis
Lineage: Eukaryota; Metazoa; Mollusca; Bivalvia; Nuculanida sp.; Neilonellidae
Description: eukaryotic LSU rRNA
Rfam family: Eukaryotic large subunit ribosomal RNA
Source: RNAcentral
GGGUUCCAUGUGAACAGCAGUUGAACAUGGGUCAGUCGGUCNUAAGAGAUAGGAGAACUCCGUUCCGAAACGGGGGCAAUGCCGCCUAACACGAACAGAAAGCAUGCCCGUCUAUCAUCGAAAGGGAAUCGGGUUAAUAUUCCCGAACCCGGACACGGAGAUUGGCCCUCGCGGGUCACGUGCGGCAACGCAAACGAACUGGGAGACGUCGGCGGGAGUCCCGGGAAGAGUUCUCUUUUCUUUGUAAGGAGCGGACUCCCUGGAAUCGGCUUGCCCGGAGAUAGGGACGUGGUUUCCGUAAAGCACCGCGGCUCUUGCGGUGUCCGGUGCACUCCCGUCGGCCCUUGAAAAUCCCAGGGAGACAGUGUGAUUUUCGUGCCGGACCGUACCCAUAUCCGCAGCAGGUCUCCAAGGUGCACAGCCUCUAGUCGAUAGAACA